GGCGAGGAUUCAGCGGGAACAUCGUCGCCGCGUCUCCGCCGCCGCCGUAGUGGAAGAUGUACAGCUGCCGGCCGUUCCAGUCGGCCUCGUCGGCGC
Molecule: transfer RNA, 96 nt
Filed under: Actinoplanes sp. L3-i22
Lineage: Bacteria; Bacillati; Actinomycetota; Actinomycetes; Micromonosporales; Micromonosporaceae
Description: tRNA-Gly
Source: RNAcentral